AUUGAACGCUGGCGGCAUGCCUUACACAUGCAAGUCGAACGGUAACGGGCCUUCGGGUGCCGACGAGUGGCGAACGGGUGAGUAAUGCAUCGGAACGUACCUUUCAGUGGGGGAUAACGUAGCGAAAGUUACGCUAAUACCGCAUAUUCUGUGAGCAGGAAAGCAGGGGAUCGCAAGACCUUGCGCUGAUUGAGCGGCCGAUGUCAGAUUAGGUAGUUGGUGGGGUAAAGGCUCACCAAGCCGACGAUCUGUAGCUGGUCUGAGAGGACGACCAGCCACACUGGGACUGAGACACGGCCCAGACUCCUACGGGAGGCAGCAGUGGGGAAUUUUGGACAAUGGGCGCAAGCCUGAUCCAGCCAUUCCGCGUGCAGGAUGAAGGCCCUCGGGUUGUAAACUGCUUUUGUACGGAACGAAACGGUUCUCUCUAAUACACGGGGGCUAAUGACGGUACCGUAAGAAUAAGCACCGGCUAACUACGUGCCAGCAGCCGCGGUAAU
RNAcentral lists this ribosomal RNA (500 nucleotides) under uncultured bacterium. RNAcentral describes it as "bacterial SSU rRNA". It matches the Rfam family "Bacterial small subunit ribosomal RNA", at positions 30 to 524 of the family's 1533-position model. The record is from RNAcentral.